UAAAUGUACAAAGAUAAACGUGAUGAGACGUUCUCAGGAUCCUGAUAUGUUUGGGUUAUUAUCAGUUCAGCUCAGAGCUUUUUGACAUGAAGCUUCAGCGCUGUGCUAAUUACGAAGCGUACUUCGGUGCAGGAACUAAACUGACUGUUCUCGAACAUGACGUCACUCCACCGACAGUCAGAGUUCUCCCAGCUUCUCCAAAGGAGUGUGGACACCAGAGUAAGACCAUCGUUUGUGUGGCCAGUGGAUUCUACCCGGAUCAUGUCAGCUUCUCCUGGACCGACAAAGAGGGCGAGGUCAGCUCAGGUGUGGCGACGGACAGCGAGGCCGUGCUGGAAGAAGGAAAGACCUACAUGAUGAGCAGCAGGCUGAGGGUCUCUGCUGAAGAGUGGAACAAUCCUGACAAUGAAUUCACCUGCACCGUCCGCUUCUUUGACGGGGACAAAACGGUCCCUUACUCUGCUUCAGUUAAAGGAAUAGAAGCUGAAAGAAAAACCAUCACCAGAGACAAAUAUCUGAAGGUCACGCAGAGCGCCAAACUGACGUACAGCGUGUUCAUCGUGAAGAGCUGUUUCUACGGAGCCUUCCUCGCUUUUCUGCUGCUCAAGUUUCAGGUUUGUUCCAACUCAACGACUCGACUGUCGUUUCCUUUCAAUAAAAAGUCUUUCUUUAAAGAGAGAAUGUGGCGCCCUCGAGCACCAGCAUGAAACAAAAAACAACGCGCUUUUAGGCCACGCCUCCUCCAUCCUCCGUUCUCCUCCAGAGACAC
Labrus bergylta (ballan wrasse) is the source of this 769-nucleotide non-coding RNA. The record is from the annotation of a RefSeq genome assembly. NCBI's taxonomy places the organism in Eukaryota, Metazoa, Chordata, Actinopteri, Labriformes, Labridae.